This 253-nucleotide ribosomal RNA is filed under the name uncultured Coprococcus sp. RNAcentral describes it as "partial 16S ribosomal RNA". It matches the Rfam family "Bacterial small subunit ribosomal RNA", at positions 524 to 776 of the family's 1533-position model. Lineage: Bacteria; Bacillati; Bacillota; Clostridia; Lachnospirales; Lachnospiraceae. The record is from RNAcentral.
UACGUAGGGGGCAAGCGUUAUCCGGAUUUACUGGGUGUAAAGGGAGCGUAGGCGGCAAGGUAAGCCAGAAGUGAAAGCCCGCAGCUCAACUGCGGGACUGCUUUUGAAACUGCCAAGCUAGAGUGUCGGAGAGGUAAGUGGAAUUCCUAGUGUAGCGGUGAAGUGCGUAGAUAUUAGGAGGAACACCAGUGGCGAAGGCGGGUUCCUGGACAUUAACUGACGCUGAGGCACGAAGGCCAGGGGAGCGAAAGGG